AUUGAACGCUGGCGGCAUGCCUUACACAUGCAAGUCGAACGGCAGCGCGGGAGCAAUCCUGGCGGCGAGUGGCGAACGGGUGAGUAAUACAUCGGAACGUGCCCAAUCGUGGGGGAUAACGCAGCGAAAGCUGUGCUAAUACCGCAUACGAUCUACGGAUGAAAGCAGGGGAUCGCAAGACCUUGCGCGAAUGGAGCGGCCGAUGGCAGAUUAGGUAGUUGGUGGGGUAAAGGCUCACCAAGCCGACGAUCUGUAGCUGGUCUGAGAGGACGACCAGCCACACUGGGACUGAGACACGGCCCAGACUCCUACGGGAGGCAGCAGUGGGGAAUUUUGGACAAUGGGCGCAAGCCUGAUCCAGCCAUGCCGCGUGCAGGAUGAAGGCCUUCGGGUUGUAAACUGCUUUUGUACGGAACGAAAAGUCUCUUUCUAAUAAAGAGGGAUCAUGACGGUACCGUAAGAAUAAGCACCGGCUAAAU
Molecule: ribosomal RNA, 479 nt
Filed under: Variovorax sp. MB16
Lineage: Bacteria; Pseudomonadati; Pseudomonadota; Betaproteobacteria; Burkholderiales; Comamonadaceae
Description: bacterial SSU rRNA
Rfam family: Bacterial small subunit ribosomal RNA
Source: RNAcentral